Herpailurus yagouaroundi (jaguarundi) is the source of this 589-nucleotide long non-coding RNA. RefSeq lists it as uncharacterized. The record is from RefSeq and is a predicted model, not a curated record. The transcript is spliced from 3 exons. NCBI's taxonomy places the organism in Eukaryota, Metazoa, Chordata, Mammalia, Carnivora, Felidae.
CUCUGAAGGGCCCGGGAUGACCCCUCCACUCCCACCAAAUCUCUACGAUUCAGAAGUUUUCUACUGAUGCGAUUUCCAGCUAGGAUGAGUCCUGAGGCAGGCCUGGGUUUUCUGCUACAUCAACCAUGCUGACCAGCAAGAUUCCUGAAGACAGCCUAGAACCGGCACGGAUUUCCCCCAAGUUUCUACCCAGUGUCACGAGCUAUCGGCAGCUGCUCCAUCAGAACAGUCCAGGCAGAGCAGUAUCCUGCAGACAUUAAUGCGUGUGUCCCAGAGCCCAUGGUAGGGAGGACCGGACUGAGGACAGCACAGACCCUCAAGUGUCAGGACACCGAGUCUGAGACAGCAAUAAGCGGGAAGAGCUUCCCUCUGAAUCUGUGGUCACAGAACCGGACUCACUGGCUCUUCCAUGCCAACCCCCUAGUCCCCAGUCACAGCUUGUGUCCAGGAGAUGGUCCCUUCCAUUCUCCCAGACCUUCAGCACGGUGGUCUAAGGCCCCAAGUGUAGGAGGGACUGAAGGCUGGGCCCUGCCUGGCUGUCAGGUUACGACUCAUCAGUAGGAGUGCGGGGACCAGAUGAUUAGGAAAC